Molecule: ribosomal RNA, 572 nt
Filed under: Corispermum sp. LJZ-2004
Lineage: Eukaryota; Viridiplantae; Streptophyta; Magnoliopsida; Caryophyllales; Amaranthaceae
Description: eukaryotic LSU rRNA
Rfam family: 5.8S ribosomal RNA (bases 246-401)
Source: RNAcentral
GAAACCUGCCCAGCAGAGUGACCAGCGAACAUGUUUUUCAUGAAUAGGGUUGGAGCUUGUGUAAUGCCUUGUGUAUUGUGCAGGUUUCUACUCUACGUCAAGGAGACACUCCGUAUAGGGGUGCCUUCUUGGCACAAUAACGAACCCCGACGCGUUUUGCGUCAAGGAAAAUGAAUACAAGUGUGCCCACCAUUGCCUAGUUUGCUAGGCAUUGGGGGGGCACCCAGUCGUAUAAAACAUUAAACGACUCUCGGCAACGGAUAUCUCGGCUCUCGCAUCGAUGAAGAACGUAGCGAAAUGCGAUACUUGGUGUGAAUUGCAGAAUCCCGUGAACCAUCGAGUCUUUGAACGCAAGUUGCGCCCGAAGCCUUCGGGUUGAGGGCACGCCUGCCUGGGCGUCACGCAUCGCGUCUCCCCCAACCCACCAGUGGUGGGGAGGUGGAGGAUGAUGGCCUCCCAUGCCUCACCGGGCGUGGAUGGCCUAAAAAUGGAGCCCUUGGUUAUGAGCUGCCGCGGCGAAUGGUGGUAUACAAGGCCUUUGGCCUAUGAUGCAUCGUGUCGUGCAGCACCUA